This is a long non-coding RNA of Chinchilla lanigera (long-tailed chinchilla), 1646 nucleotides long. The record is from Ensembl. Lineage: Eukaryota; Metazoa; Chordata; Mammalia; Rodentia; Chinchillidae.
AUUUUGUCGGUCAUGAAUAAUUCAGCAGAUAGGAGCGGCGCAGAGGGCCCCUCCACUGUCCAGGCCGGCUCAGGCCCUGCCCCAAGUGCCCAACCCACCCGGCCCUGUCCUGUCACCGGGUCAGUCACAGAGAAUAAACAACCUGUGUGCCAGGCAUGCUGACAGAGGGGUUUUCAUCAGCCCUGGGGUCUGCAACGGGAGAAGAGGGAGAACGCGGGAAGUAGAAGAAGGUGCAACUGGGAGCUGCAGCCACUGGAUAAUGAAUUCCCUAAGACAGAGAAUCAAGGAACAGGAACUCAGCAUUCCCCACGGCACUCUGUGCAAAAAUCAGGAUCCCGUCGAGCACGUCCUUGACUUAUGGAUCCACCUCCUCCCCGCAUCAAGGAUCCUAGGACCAGACAGCCACGUUGAAGGUCGCAGGUGCCACUCCUCGGCGGCUCUUGGGCGGCGCCCGCACAUGCGGAGCCUGCCACCCACCGGGGACGGGCGGUACUGCAGGCGCGGGGGCCGCUCACCUGGAAAUGUUUACCGCGCCGGGCCCAGGGGCCUCGCCCCGCAGGCGGCUUGCGGUCUCUGGGAACAAACGCCAGCGACCCUCGCGUGGGUAGCAACUUUCUCAUCUGCAUUUGGUGGACGCCUUUGUUCUUACAACUCAAGUAAUGUACAUUUAUGGCAGAAUAUUUUAAACAAAAUAUUAAAGACUAGCUAUAACUCCUGCUAACCUGUGCGUGUAGUCUUCAUGGUAUUUUUCUAUGCAUUUUACAAUUGUGGAAGCAGACAUUUCAUAAUAUUUUGUAGCCCGCUAUGUCUUUUUUCUUUUUGUAUUAUUGGAGAUUGAACCAAGAGCCAGCUACUUGGGAGGCUGAGGCAGGAGUAUUCCAAGUUUAACACCCAGCCUGAACUUUUUCUUUUCUUUUUUCCUUUUCUUUCCUUUUCGUUUUUUGGGUUUUUUUUUUGUUUGUUUGUUCUCUGGUACCGGGAAUCGAACUCAUGACCUUGCACUUGCCAGGCAGGCACUGUGCCGCUGAGCUAUCUUUCCUUUUCUUUUUUUUUCUUUUCUUUUCUUUUUCUUUCUUUUCUUUCUCUUUCAUUUCUUCCUUCCUUCUUUUCUUUCUUUCUUCUUCUUUCUUUCUUUCUUUCUUUCUUUCUUUCUUUCUUUCUUUCUCUUCCUUCUUUCCUUCCUUCCUUCCUUUGAGACAGGGUUCCACUAUGUAGCCCAGGCUGGCCUCUAAUUUGCAGCAAUCCCCCUGCCUCAGCCUCCCAACUGCUAAGAUCACAGGCAUGUGCCACCAUUCCCAGCCAGCCUGAACAAUUCAGUGAGACAGUGUCUUUAAAAUAAAAAAGACUGAACCAUUUUGUUAUACCAGCUCUGGGCCAGCCCUCAAGGGGAUUCAGAGGAACUGCGAAAGAACAGGAUCUCCUGGAACUCACAAUGGAAAUGAGGAAAUGGAACAGUCCUUGUUCUACAAGGUACAGUGAGUUUAAACACUGCUAUGGACCUAGGCCACAGGGCAGGAGGUAAGCAGGGAAGGCUCCCUGUGAGAGCUGGGGACGGGGCGGGGACUGCAGAUACAGGUGAGAAAGUGAGUAGCAAGCGCACUUCCAGACAGAGGCCAGGCUGAGAGGCCUCUGGUGCAGAUAUGUAU